UGAGGAAUAUUGCCCAAUGGACGAAAGUCUGAGGCAGCAACGCCGCGUGGGUGAUGAAGGCCUUCGGGUCGUAAAACCCUUUUCCGGGGGAAGAGUAAGGACGGUACCCCAGGAAUAAGUCACGGCUAACUACGUGCCAGCAGCCGCGGUAAUACGUAGGUGGCAAGCGUUAUCCGGAUUCAUUGGGCGUAAAGCGCGUGCAGGCGGUCCUGUAAGUCGGAUGUGAAAGCUCCUGGCUUAACUGGGAGAGGUCGUUCGAUACUGCGGGGCUUGAGGUCGGGAGAGGGACGUGGAAUUCCCGGUGUAGUGGUGGAAUGCGUAGAUAUCGGGAGGAACACCAGUGGCGAAGGCGACGUCCUGGCCCGCACCUGACGCUAAGACGCGAAAGCGUGGGUAGCGAACGGG
RNAcentral lists this ribosomal RNA (405 nucleotides) under uncultured Anaerolineae bacterium. RNAcentral's name for it is "bacterial SSU rRNA". It matches the Rfam family "Bacterial small subunit ribosomal RNA", at positions 355 to 776 of the family's 1533-position model. Lineage: Bacteria; Bacillati; Chloroflexota; Anaerolineae. The record is from RNAcentral.